Non-coding RNA from Vicugna pacos (alpaca), 72 nucleotides. The record is from the annotation of a RefSeq genome assembly. Lineage: Eukaryota; Metazoa; Chordata; Mammalia; Artiodactyla; Camelidae.
GGAGGGAUAGCUUUGUGGUAGAGUAUGUGCCUAGGAAGCACAAGGUCCUGGGUUCAAUCCCCAGUGCCUCCA